This 324-nucleotide ribosomal RNA is filed under the name uncultured eukaryote. RNAcentral's name for it is "partial 18S ribosomal RNA". It matches the Rfam family "Eukaryotic small subunit ribosomal RNA", at positions 1470 to 1796 of the family's 1831-position model. The record is from RNAcentral.
CCCUUAGAUGUUCUGGGCCGCACGCGCGCUACACUGAUGCAUUCAACGAGUUUCUUCCUGGUCCGAGAGGAAUGGGUAACCUUUUGAAAGUGCAUCGUGAUAGGGAUAGACUAUUGCAAUUAUUGGUCUUCAACGAGGAAUUCCUAGUAGACGUAGUUCAUCAGACUGCAUUGAUUACGUCCCUGCCCUUUGUACACACCGCCCGUCGCUCCUACCGAUUGAAUGCUCAGGUGAGCCAUUCGGACUUUCAUCAUGCUGGUUUCCAGUUUUGAUGAAGGAAAGUCUUGCGAACCUUAUCAUUUAGAGGAAGGAGAAGUCGUAACA